Molecule: ribosomal RNA, 429 nt
Filed under: Chloroflexota bacterium
Lineage: Bacteria; Bacillati; Chloroflexota
Description: Chloroflexi bacterium partial 16S ribosomal RNA
Rfam family: Bacterial small subunit ribosomal RNA
Source: RNAcentral
UGGGGAAUAUUGCACAAUGGGCGCAAGCCUGAUGCAGCCAUGCCGCGUGUAUGAAGAAGGCCUUCGGGUUGUAAAGUACUUUCAGCUGGGAGGAAGGGAGUAAAGUUAAUACCUUUGCUCAUUGACGUUACCCGCAGAAGAAGCACCGGCUAACUCCGUGCCAGCAGCCGCGGUAAUACGGAGGGUGCAAGCGUUAAUCGGAAUUACUGGGCGUAAAGCGCACGCAGGCGGUUUGUUAAGUCAGAUGUGAAAGCCCCCGGCUAAACCGGGGAGGGUCAUUGGAAACUGGGAGACUUGAGUGCAGAAGAGGAGAGUGGAAGUCCACGUGUAGCGGUGAAAUGCGUAGAUAUAUGGAGGAACACCAGUGGCGAAGGCGGCUCUCUGGUCUGUAACUGACGCUGAGGCUCGAAAGCGUGGGGAGCAAACAGG